Molecule: ribosomal RNA, 1289 nt
Filed under: Vibrio sp.
Lineage: Bacteria; Pseudomonadati; Pseudomonadota; Gammaproteobacteria; Vibrionales; Vibrionaceae
Description: bacterial SSU rRNA
Rfam family: Bacterial small subunit ribosomal RNA
Source: RNAcentral
GCUCAGAUUGAACGCUGGCGGCAGGCCUAACACAUGCAAGUCGAGCGGAAACGAGUUAUCUGAACCUUCGGGGGACGAUAACGGCGUCGAGCGGCGGACGGGUGAGUAAUGCCUAGGAAAUUGCCCUGAUGUGGGGGAUAACCAUUGGAAACGAUGGCUAAUACCGCAUGAUGCCUACGGGCCAAAGAGGGGGACCUUCGGGCCUCUCGCGUCAGGAUAUGCCUAGGUGGGAUUAGCUAGUUGGUGAGGUAAGGGCUCACCAAGGCGACGAUCCCUAGCUGGUCUGAGAGGAUGAUCAGCCACACUGGAACUGAGACACGGUCCAGACUCCUACGGGAGGCAGCAGUGGGGAAUAUUGCACAAUGGGCGCAAGCCUGAUGCAGCCAUGCCGCGUGUGUGAAGAAGGCCUUCGGGUUGUAAAGCACUUUCAGUCGUGAGGAAGGUAGUGUAGUUAAUAGCUGCAUUAUUUGACGUUAGCGACAGAAGAAGCACCGGCUAACUCCGUGCCAGCAGCCGCGGUAAUACGGAGGGUGCGAGCGUUAAUCGGAAUUACUGGGCGUAAAGCGCAUGCAGGUGGUUUGUUAAGUCAGAUGUGAAAGCCCGGGGCUCAACCUCGGAAUUGCAUUUGAAACUGGCAGACUAGAGUACUGUAGAGGGGGGUAGAAUUUCAGGUGUAGCGGUGAAAUGCGUAGAGAUCUGAAGGAAUACCGGUGGCGAAGGCGGCCCCCUGGACAGAUACUGACACUCAGAUGCGAAAGCGUGGGGAGCAAACAGGAUUAGAUACCCUGGUAGUCCACGCCGUAAACGAUGUCUACUUGGAGGUUGUGGCCUUGAGCCGUGGCUUUCGGAGCUAACGCGUUAAGUAGACCGCCUGGGGAGUACGGUCGCAAGAUUAAAACUCAAAUGAAUUGACGGGGGCCCGCACAAGCGGUGGAGCAUGUGGUUUAAUUCGAUGCAACGCGAAGAACCUUACCUACUCUUGACAUCCAGAGAACUUUCCAGAGAUGGAUUGGUGCCUUCGGGAACUCUGAGACAGGUGCUGCAUGGCUGUCGUCAGCUCGUGUUGUGAAAUGUUGGGUUAAGUCCCGCAACGAGCGCAACCCUUAUCCUUGUUUGCCAGCGAGUAAUGUCGGGAACUCCAGGGAGACUGCCGGUGAUAAACCGGAGGAAGGUGGGGACGACGUCAAGUCAUCAUGGCCCUUACGAGUAGGGCUACACACGUGCUACAAUGGCGCAUACAGAGGGCAGCCAACUUGCGAAAGUGAGCGAAUCCCAAAAAGUGCGUCGUA